AACGAACGCUGGCGGCAUGCCUAACACAUGCAAGUCGAGCGAGGACUUCGGGUCUAGCGGCGGACGGGUGUGUAACGCGUGGGAAUGUUCCCUUCUCUACGGAAUAGCUCUGGGAAACUGGGAGUAAUACCGUAUACGCCCUAUUGGGGAAAGAUUUAUCGGAGCAGGAUCAGCCCGCGUUGGAUUAGGUAGUUGGUGGGGUAAUGGCCUACCAAGCCGACGAUCCAUAGCUGGUUUGAGAGGAUGAUCAGCCACACUGGGACUGAGACACGGCCCAGACUCCUACGGGAGGGAGCAGUGGGGAAUCUUAGAAAAUGGGGGCAACCCUGAUCGAGCCAUGCCGCGUGAGUGAUGAAGGCCUUAGGGUUGUAAAGCUCUUUCAGCUGGGAAGAUAAUGACGGUACCAGCAGAAGAAGCCACGGCUAACUCCGUG
RNAcentral lists this ribosomal RNA (433 nucleotides) under uncultured bacterium. RNAcentral describes it as "partial 16S ribosomal RNA". It matches the Rfam family "Bacterial small subunit ribosomal RNA", at positions 29 to 507 of the family's 1533-position model. The record is from RNAcentral.